GCAUCCGCAGCUUAGCCAAUCUGUUGUUUUAAACGAGCAAUAAAAAUGAAUUAUGACUAAACGCCUUCUAACUUAAUGGUUUUAGACGGGGUUCCCCGGCUCCGGCAAAUACGUACGAGGAUUUUUAUUUGUGCAUGUGUUCCUGCCAUUGAUCUCUUUGAUGACAUUCUCAUUCAUAGAAAGAGUGUGAUUUAUGAGUUUAGGAAGAAUUGCAUCCAAC
Chelonoidis abingdonii (Abingdon island giant tortoise) is the source of this 220-nucleotide unclassified non-coding RNA. The record is from Ensembl. Lineage: Eukaryota; Metazoa; Chordata; Testudines; Testudinidae.